Molecule: ribosomal RNA, 393 nt
Filed under: uncultured bacterium
Lineage: Bacteria
Description: bacterial SSU rRNA
Rfam family: Bacterial small subunit ribosomal RNA
Source: RNAcentral
UAAUACGGAGGAUGCAAGCGUUAUCCGGAUUCAUUGGGUUUAAAGGGUGCGCAGGCGGAUUAGUAAGUCAGUGGUGAAAGCCUACAGCUUAACUGUAGAACUGCCGUUGAUACUGCUAAUCUUGAGUGUAGUUGAGGUAGGCGGAAUGUGUCAUGUAGCGGUGAAAUGCUUAGAUAUGACACAGAACACCGAUCGUGAAGACAGCUUACCAAGCUACAACUGACGCUCAUGCACGAAAGCGUGGGGAUCAAACAGGAUUAGAUACCCUGGUAGUCCACGCUGUAAACGAUGGACACUCGCUGUUGGCGAUACACUGCCAGCGGCUGAGCGAAAGUAUUAAGUGUCCCACCUGGGGAGUACGAUCGCAAGGUUGAAACUCAAAUGAAUUGACGG